RNAcentral lists this ribosomal RNA (253 nucleotides) under uncultured bacterium. RNAcentral describes it as "partial 16S ribosomal RNA". It matches the Rfam family "Bacterial small subunit ribosomal RNA", at positions 524 to 776 of the family's 1533-position model. The record is from RNAcentral.
UACGUAGGCAGCAAGCGUUGUUCGGAGUUACUGGGCGUAAAGGGUGUGUAGGCGGUUCUUUAAGUUUGCUGUGAAAUCUCCCGGCUUAACCGGGAGGGUGCGGUGAAUACUGAGGGACUAGAGUACGGGAGAGGAAAGUGGAAUUCCUGGUGUAGCGGUGAAAUGCGCAGAUAUCAGGAGGAACACCAGCGGCGAAGGCGGCGCUCUGGGCCGGAACUGACGCUGAGGAGCGAAAGCGUGGGGAGCGAACAGG